Molecule: RNA transcript, 3792 nt
Organism: Sebastes umbrosus (honeycomb rockfish)
Lineage: Eukaryota; Metazoa; Chordata; Actinopteri; Perciformes; Sebastidae
Gene name: sorting nexin-14-like
Exons: 32
Source: RefSeq, a predicted model, not a curated record
CUGGCUGCUGCAGUGAGCGUAGCGAAGGUGAUGACGUCACUCCGUCUCCAGCGUGCUGACAACCAGGCAGCAACAGCAACCGUUGUUGCUCCUAAAUGGACAAGAAAUGACAGCCAGAGCUCCAGCAGCCAUUAAGCUAAACAGCACCGCAGUUACAGGACAAGACUACACACAGAUGCUGCUGCUGCUGCUGUUGUAAUUACCGCUAAUCCUUGCUGUGGCUUACAGCUGUGUGCUGGGCAACUCUCCUCUACCUCUCCACCUCUCCAACGCUGAUCCGAUCCGAUAUAAACAACAGGCAACCUGGUCAUUUUAUUCUGCACAUUCAUGAUGGUGUCGCUGCUGGACUACAAUGAAAAAUGGCCCUUAACAUCCACCGUACACUUACAUAAUAUGCAAUAGGUGAACAGACUCCAAAGCGACCAACAUGGGAUGCAUCAGGGCUUGUCUGCAGAGGAUGAGACGCAGGGUGAAGCUGGAGCGGUUCAGAGAGCUGGGACGACAGUAUCCAGUCUUCUGCUUUCUGCUGCUGCUCCUGCUGCUGUCCACUGUGCUUUUAAACAGAUAUAUUCACAUUAUGAUGGUGUUUUGGUCCUUCCUGGCCGGAGUCGUCACUUUCUACUGCUCUUUGGGGCCUGAGUCUCUGCUGCCCAACGUCUUGGCCUCCAUCAAACCAAAAAUCAAGUCAUACCAACAGGAGCUGUUUCCCCUGGGCCACAGCUGUGCCGUGUGUGGAAAAAUCAAAUGCAAAAGGCACAGACCGACUUUAUUACUGGAAAACUAUCAACCAUGGCUUGACCUGAAAGUUCCCUCUAAGGUGGAUGCUUCUCUUUCAGAGAUUCUGGAGCUGGUCCUGGAAAAUUUUGUGUAUCCUUGGUAUAGAGACAUCACAGAUGAUGAGGCGUUUGUCGACGAGCUCAGAGUGACUUUGCGCUUCUUUGCAGCUGUGUUGGUCCGCCGAACCCAGAAGGUGGAUGUGGCAUCCCUCAUCACACAAAAGCUUCUUAAAGUCUCCAUGAAGCACAUUGAAAUAAUAAGCAAAGCAAGACAGAAAGUAAAGAACGCAGAGUAUCUUCAACAAGCUGCCCUGGAGGAAUACGGUCCUGACCUCCAUGUGGCCCUUCGCAGUCGCAGAGAUGAGCUCCUCUACCUCAGGAAGCUCACUGAGAUGCUCUUCCCCUACAUUCUGCCGCCCAAGGCUACAGACUGCAGAUCUCUUACUCUCCUGAUAAGAGAAGUCUUGGCUGGUUCUGUCUUCCUUCCUUCAAUGGACUACUUGGCUGAUCCUGACACAGUGAAUCAUUUACUUUUGAUAUUCAUCGACAACUCCCCCCCUGAAGAAGCCACAGAGCCCGCUUCACCGUUGGUUCCUUUCCUGCAAAAGUACUCUGAUAUUCGCAGCAAAAAGACUUCUGUGCUGAAGCUAGAGUUGAAGGAAAUCCGAGAACAGCAGGACCUUCUCUUCCGUUUUAUGAACUUCCUGAAGCAAGAGGGGGCUGUUCAUGUGCUCCAGUUCUGCCUUGCAGUCGAGGAAUUCAACGACAGGAUACUUUGCCCGGAGCUGUCUGACACGGAGAAGAUGAUGCUUCACGAGGAGGUGAAGAAGAUCUAUGAGACAUACUGUUUGGACGAGAGCGUCGACAAGAUCCGCUUCGACCCCUUCAUAGUGGAAGAAAUACGCAACAUUGCAGAGGGCCCGUAUGCAGAGGUGGUGAAGCUGCAGACCAUGAGGUGCUUGUUUGAAGCCUACGAGCACGUCCUGUCCCUCCUGGAGAACGUUUUCACCCCCAUGUUCUGUCACAGUGAUGAGUACUUCCGCCAGCUUCUGAGAGGGGCAGAGUCCCCUGCCAGGAAUUCCAGGAUGAGCAGAAAUAGCCUCAGUUUGGAUGACAUUCGUUCCUGGGACUGGAGCCCCGAGUCCCCGUCCUCACUGUUCACCGCCUCUGGCAGCUCUUCACCUGCAUCUUUUAACUCCCUCCAUGCCCAGUCCACGUUCACAACUUUCCCAUACGGCUCGCUAUCCCACCGCCACUCAUCACCCAAGAACACGUCAAAGAGGGGCGAGUCCUUUGGGAUCAGCCGCAUUGGCAGUAAGAUCAAAGGAGUGUUCAAGAGCACAACCAUGGAGGGAGCCAUGCUGCCAUCCUAUGGGCUGGUGGAGGGGGAGGACGAUAUGGUGGAGGAAGCCAUGAUGGUGCUGGAGGAUGACUCCCCCAUGGAGGCCGCCUCCACCCCCAGCACCCCCCGAAACCUCUCAGCCUGGAACAUCACCAUCCCGUACAUUGAUUUCUAUGACGACGAUGUGAAGAGGGAGAGGAUUCCCGUGUUCUGUAUCGAUGUAGAGCGCAAUGACCGGAAGGCAGUGGGACAUGAGACUGAGCACUGGUCCGUGUACAGAAGAUAUCUGGAGUUCUAUGUCCUUGAAUCAAAGCUCACUGAGUUUCAUGGCUCAUUUCCAGAUGCGCAGUUGCCUUCGAAGAGAAUCCUCGGUCCCAAGAAUUACGAGUUCCUCACAUCGAAACGGGAGGAGUUCCAGGAGUACCUUCAGAAACUUCUGCAGCACCCAGAGCUGAGUAACAGUCAACUCCUCGCCGACUUCCUGUCCCCUCAUAGCAUGGAGUCUCAGUUCCUGGACAAGAUGUUACCUGACGUGAACCUGGGGAAAAUCAUUAAGUCAGUUCCCAGCAAACUGAUAAAAGAGAAAGGGCAGCAUCUGGAGCCUUUCAUCCAGUCCUUCUUCAACUCCUGUGAAUCUCCCAAACCCAAACCCAGCCGCCCUGAGCUCACUAUCCUGAGCCCCACCUCGGAAAAUGAUAAAAAGCUCUUCAACGACCUCUUCAAAAACAACGCCAACCGAUCAGAGAUGAGUGAGAAGAGACACAAUCAGAAUUACUUCCUGGAAAUGAUCACUGUUGAAGGGCUGUAUGACUACUUGAUGUAUUUGGGCCGAGUCGUCUUCCACAUCCCCGACUGGCUGCACCAUCUGCUAAUGACUGGCAGGAUCCUGUUCAAGAACACACUGGAAGCCUACACAGAUUACUACCUUCACUGCAAACUGAACCAGGUGGUCCAGGAACACCGGCUAGUCUCGCUCAUCACCCUGCUUAGAGACACCGUUUUCUGUGAGAGCAGUCUGCCCCGCUCAGCUCAAGACAAGCAGUGGAGGGCCAAGAAGACAUUUGAGCAGAUGAUGAAAUACAUUCCAGAGUUUCUGGGAAAAUGCAUCGGAGAAGAGGCCAGGUAUGAGGGAGUACGUCUCCUCUUCGAUGGACUGCAACAGCCUGUUCUCAACAAACAGCUGACAUAUGUGCUGUUGGACAUCGCCAUUCAAGAACUUUUCCCUGAGUUGAACAAGCAGGUACAGAAGGAGACCUCUAUGAUGGCUCCGUGGAUGUAAACUGAACAUUUCAAUGGACAUGAGCUGACAUGCUUUCUAGGCAUUAAACUAAGCCGAAACACCUGCAGAGACUCAUGUUGGUUCAGUUACCUGAAACAUGUUGAUCACAUGUACAGUAUCUGACCUGGAUACAUGCCCCAACAAGAAGAGGAAACACGUGGCCCCUCCUGCUUUAUCCUUGAAGGCAGCGAGAUGGAAAGGCAGUCAACCAAGUGUCCCAGAGGAGUUUACAAGCUGCCCUUCAGUUUAUCACAGUUUACAGAAAGCCCAUCAGAGUGUCAGGGACAGACAUAAACCCAACAGCAACAAACCAACGCUGUGGGCUGUAAAGACAGCCGAGUUCCUGAACGUGAUCCGGCCCUCCACUGCAGGGUACACGCGCUUCAUGUCCGAGA